AUGAAGAAAAUUAACAUAUUUUGCAUGGUACACACCAAUGACAUUUGUCUUUGGUGUGAACAGAAUUAACAUGUUUAUCGUAGGACACAUCAAUAAUAUUGGUGUCUUUGGUGUGAACAGGAUUAACAUGUUUAUCGUGCAGCACACCAAUAUUAUGAAUUAAGCUAGAAUACUUUAAUAAGCACCAGCACACCAAUAUUAUGAAUUGAGGUAAAAUACUUUUAUAAGUACCAACUCCUCCGUGCUUUUAAGUUUCUAGCCCUUGGAUCUACUCAUUGAUUAUUAAUAACCUUUGGAACAAAUACUAUUCCACCUACCACCACCUAUCACCAUCAUCUCAAUCUCACAUCUCUCCAUUCAAUAAUUAAAAACUCAAAAGCACAACCUUUAUAGUACUUUUGAGAGUAUUCUAGCUCAACUUUAUUAUAUCAUGCCAAACCAUGAUAAACAACCCAAGACAAAUAUACUAAAAAAUUAGUUGCAAUCCUACAAUAAUCCUAUCCAAAGCUUUUCUUUUUCUAUAAGUUUUAUCACAUUUCUUUUUUUUUUUCACUAAAAAUUAGAAAGGAGUUGGCAAAAGUUAGUAUUAUUGAAGGAAGAGGUGUAGAGGUUAUAAUUCUUUUUUAAUGAUAAACUUAACAUUUUUUUAUAGAAAUUAGGAAAUACUAUAUUUGCAUAUUAAUUAAAGACGACAAUCAAAUCCCCAAACAGCGUACAAAAAACUCAACUUACCUUCGUUAUAAAAAAAAUCUAUAGGAACAGAAUCAGUGUUGUUAGGUACUACAUCAUGCUAUUUUUUUUUGAGAGAAAGAUAGCAUACUACUCGCUUCGUUUAUUUCAUUUAGAAAUAAAUUAGUGGAUCAUCAUGCUAUUUUUUUUUUAAAGAACCGUUUUUCAGGCUGAGUCAUGUACCAUACUAUUAAAAAAUGUGCGGUUAGAAUGAUAUGGACCCCCUAAGGUUGAAUAGGCAGUUGGUUGAAUAGUAUAAUCUAACGGAUAAAAAUAAUUAAAGGAUUAAUCUAACAGUAGAAAACUUGAUAGCACCAAGUAUUUGGUGUUAUCGAUAGCAUAGCACCAUCGUAGUUUAUGGAAGGAUUCUCUAAAUCUCCGGUUCACUGCAAUCAAAGCUUCAAAAAGUUGAAGGAGAGGUUGACCUCAAAUUCUCGUCUUGCCGAUUGCGGAGGACUUUCGUAGAAUUAUAAGCAAAACUAUUCUAACAUAGUUCCAUAUUACACUCCAAGUUUCCUUGUGAUCCACAUUUUUACACUUAUCUUGUCAUUUUUCUAAAAAAAAAAAAAUUUAAAAGAGGUUUUAUUAAUCCUUGGACCAUGUAGCAGUGCGCCCGUAGCAUUUUUCUUAAAACAAGGGCUCAAAUUAACCAAAGAAGGAAGCUAAUCAUGUAUAGAGCUUAUAAAAUAGAUUUAUUUUAAAAUUCAAAAUGUAUUUUUUAUAAAAUAAUGCCUAAAGAUUUCUAAUCGAGAUAUUUUGAAACUUGAAAAGUCUAUUCAUAUCUGUAGUUUUCCGAACUCCAAUUGUAUUCAAAUUCAUUUUGGUCAAAUAUAAUUAUGAAAUCCAUUAUUUAUUUGUUAUUCGUAUUCAAAUUUGUAUUCGUGUAUUAAAUAUAAUAGGAAUAUGGUAUUGUUAAAUAUCCUAGCACAUUUGAUUAUUUUCGCCCUUACUGUAAGAAAAUGUAAAUUUACACUUUACCCAUCCAAGUCAUUUUUAUCACACUAGUCCUCUCAUUAAAAUACUAAAAUCAAUGUAGAGAAAAACCCAACAGAAAAGAACAAAUGAUUUGUGCUAGAGAACAAGGAGACCUCUCAUUAAAAUACUAAAAUUAAUGUAGAGAAAAACCCAACAGAAAAGAACAAAUGAUUUGUGCUAGAGAACAAGGAGAAUUUAGUGUGUUUUGAUUUGAAAAAUCUGGGACUUGGAAUAGGAAUCAAAAUGAAUCACUCCUAUUGUGUGUCAAGAGGAGAAUUUCAAGCUGAGCUGAAAAUACGUAAGUCUCCCAUUAGUGAUGAGGUGAUACUAAUUAAGAUGUUCUGCAUGGAAAAAAGUUACAAGAAAACUUAUACUAUUUUCUCAAAAAAAAGAAAAGAAAACUUAUACUAGGGUCAGAGAAGGUGAAAAGAAGUUAUCAAAAAAAUAAAGAAUCAGAGAGAAGAGAAAAAAAGAAGAUGAUGAAGUUACACUAUUUUAAAGGAACGUUGCAUGGUUUAAAAAGAAACUUAUACUAUUUGAGAGAAAAAAAAAAAUUUUGCAUUAUUUGGGUGAAAAUUACACUAUUUCUCCUCCACAUGGAAACAAAGAGAAAGGAGGAAGAGGAAGAGAAUAAAUAGUAUAAUUUUCAUCCAAAAAGUACAACUUUCGUUUAAAGACUGUAACUUUCAUUCAGAAAAAUGUAAUUUUUCUUUAAAACAGUGUAGUGUUCAGUGCAUAUUCAUCAUUUUCUUUUUUUCUCUUUGAUUCUUUAUUUUUUUUUUGUAGAAAAAAAUAUUUUUCUUUAUAUUUUAUAUUUUAUAUUUUAAUUUUAUUUUUUUUCUUUGGAUCUGCUUUCUCCCGCGCUCACUCUGAGUUCUCCUUCUCCGACGCCGGUAUCGGUACUUCCGCCGGCGAAGACGGAGUAAGAAGACGCGGCGCUGUUUUCCUUACCGUUGUGAAGAGUUGCGGAGGCAAUGGAGGGAGGUUGAAGAGAAAAAAAAAAAAGGAACAAAAAAAAAAAGAGAGGAAAAGAACGUGGAGUUACCCUCUUUACUGUCGUAAAGAGCAGGGUCGCGACACGGCCUUGGCGAGGUUGGAGGCGAGAGACGAGGGUGCGCCGGAGAGAGGCGAGGCGUGCUGCCUCUGUCUUUUUGUCAGUUUUUUAAAAAUUUGGUCCGAAUUUAUCAAAUUCAAAAAAGCCGUCUAUUUUUACAAAAACUUAAAACUAGUAUAUUUUUUUAUACAAAUUGGCCUAUAGACUGAGAUAAAUAAAUAGUAUGGACAUAGAUACAGAUAGAGAUGUAAAUAUAGAUAAAGUAGAGAUAAUAUCUUCCUGAAAAUGUGAUGAAAAAUGUAUGAUUUUAUUUUUUUUUUAAAAUAAAUUUAACUGGAUUUUUUCUCCGAAUUGAUUGAAUUUUCUUUCGAUCUCGUGCCAAAUCAGUGCAAAGCGGUAGCAGUAGAAUUAGUAGUGUUUUAAGGUUAUAAUGCGAGUCGGUUUAGUAGUAUUUGGUAAGGUUAUUAUUGAUCGAGGCUUUAAUUAGCAGCAAUAAAUACGAAUGGGGUGGGGCCGUGGGGGCGUAUCGUAUCCUGAAUUAAUUAGUAAGUACUGUAUCUUCUCUUCUUAUUACUCUUCUCUCUCCCUUGUGAUUUUGCUCCUGCAGCUGCGCGGAAAAAAAAAAAAAAGGAAAAAAAUUAAGCCAUGUCUGCAGAGCGCUACUCACAUAGAGUGUUUGCAGACGAUGUCGACGAAACCGUCCGCAUCAAUCAGUAUCCACAACCGCCGGUUCCCUCGUGGUCUUCCAUGUUCUUCGGCUUCGCGUUGGUCAUUCGGAACAUCUUAGAGGACGAAGAACACGGGAUAAGGGGUGGCGUACCCGUAGAUCCUCCGAUCCGGUGGUAUCUGGAGAUCGGGUGCACGGAGCUGUGCCGCGAUCGCGGGGAAUUCAUCAGCAAUGAAGUGUCUAAGGAGGCCCGCAAGAUCAUGUUCGAAAUGCUCGAAGAAUGCAUGGGGGGUGCAGUUCCGUCGUUCACGCGAAGAUGCAUCGCAAACGACUUCGGCGUCCAGGCGUGCUGGAUGCUGUGCGACGCGCGCUACGCGCUCUGCAGAAAGCUCCCGGUAAUCGUGGAGCUGACGGUCUUCUCUGCCUUUCCGGUGACCUCUCGUCUUCGGUUGAUGCCUAUGGCGAUGGAGGGACUGGAGCUGUCGCAGCUGGCUGCAGCGGGAUCGGCGGAGGAUGAGAUGUGUGCGAUCUGCCUCGCCGAGCUCCACGCCGGGUCCGAGGUCACUCGCUUACCCUGCUCCCAUUAUUUCCACGGCGAGUGCGUCCUCCGGUGGCUGCGCAUCAACCGCUCCUGCCCUCUUUGCCGCUUCAUCCUGCCACAUUAAUCUUUAAAACGCGAGUAUGUCACUGGAUUUGCUUGUCCAAUAUAAUAUAAUUUAACUUUUUUUUUUUUUUUUCUGUUUUUUCUUCUUUUUUAUUUCUUGGAAGUGGAUAAUUUGACUAACGCACUGCUUAUUGCUUUAAGCAAUCUAUAUAUUCUUACUCUCUAAUUUAUUUAUUUGUUGUAAUCUUUUUUUAGGUGCUUAUGGGCUCUUUUACUAUUUAGGAAUCUCAAGCUACAUUCCAGUACAGGUUGGGAUAAAAAUACUAGUGAAUCUCAGAGUGCACGUGUACGAUGCAGAUGACUUGAAACGGUUCGUUUGAGCUUGCGUGAUCCAAAUAAAAUUUCUUAAAUUAGCUCUAACGUAGUUAAUACUGACCGUCCCUAGAGCAAGUGGCAAAUAACUCAAAAUUUGAAAUUCUAGUUGAUUUAUAUUUCUAGCUAAGUUUAUUUAUAAAUGAGAUAAAUGAAACGAAUAACGUGCUAUCUAUCUUCUCGAAAAAAAAAAAAAAACCUCUAAAGCAACUCAUUCUCAUUAAUUAAAUUAAUUAGUAAUUUUAAAGACGUUUUGAAGUGACUAAAAAAUAAGGAUAAAUUGACUAAACCAGCAAACUUCUAUCAAAAUUUUAUUUGGCACGCUGAGUGUACUCUGUCUUUCUUUCUCUUUGCUUACUUUUUUUUUUUUUUUUUAAUUUUUCCUCCUUUCUUUCAAUGAGGCAUUGUUGUGGCAUCUUUGUACCUAAAUUCAAAUUUUUAUUGUAUAAAACAGUAACAUGCUAUUGUUUAAAAAAUAUAUAUAUUUCGCACUGUUAAAGUACAAUCCACCCUCCUCCCAUUUAGGCACUCACUCAUCGGACAAAGACGGGGAAAAAAUUAAAAAAAAAAAACCCUCCUGUUCUUCUUCUUGGCCCGUAGAAUCUCUCUCUAUCUAUGGUGGUGAUGGGGUUGAUCUCGAGGGUUCUGGACGCGGCGGUGGUGGCGUUCUCGGCGGCGGUGGCUGUGGCGGCGCCGCUGAUCGACGCGCNUGAACAUUUUUUAUAUUACAAGGGGGUAAACUAUAGGUUUUUAAAUGACAGCAAGGAAAGUAAAAAAGCAGAUAUUGACAGGAGGGUUUUCUGUAAUUUAGCCCCUUUUUUUAUAAAAAAAAAUCAUUUAUUUGGUGAGAGAGAAAGUGUAGCAAAGAAUGGUUUUAAGAGCUACACAAAUCAUUAUCAUCUGGACCAUUACAAUGUAGAUUUAGGUUAAGAGCUACACAUAUCAUUAUCAUUGGACCAUUACUUUGUAGAUUUAGGAAAAUAUCCAUAUAUGGUGAAACCAAGCAUGGAAUUAAUGAAGAAAAGACCCUAUAAGAAAAUUCAAAAAUCUUGUUGGGGCAUGUAGAUGUAGAUGUAGAUAUUAUUCUUGGCUGCACAGCUCAUGAAUGGGUCCACAAACAGAGGAAGCUUCCAGGAAAAAGCACUUGCAGCAGGCUUCUGACUGACUGCCUGAGAAUGACUCCCUCACAAACCUACAUCCAUUUUUCUUUUCUUUUCUUUUCUUUUCUUUCUUUGAGAGAGAAAGAGGUAACAUGUUAUCCAUUUCGUUCAUUUCAUUUAGAAAUGAAUUUAACUGAAAAUAUAGAUAAACUAGGAUUCGAAUUUUGGAUUUCGAAUACCAGUCACUAAGCUCUUUGCCACUUGCGCUAGGGACGGUCGGUGACUUAUGCUUGAUCUUGAAAAUGACGUAAUGAUUUUUUGUAACUUAGUUUGUCAUUCUCUUGAUUUCCUUUGAACCGAUCUUGAUCUGGUUAUAUUGGCUAAACAAAUAGGAUAGAUUUAAAAUAAAACAAAAAUAAAAUAAGCACUGCUGCAGCAGCUGGAGAAGGGUUACAUACGUUGCUCAAAUUGAACCACUCCAACAUGUGAGGAAUAAAGUGCUUUUUAAGGUUCCUUUUUUUUUUUUUUUUUUUUGAUAACUGGUGCAUAGUUUUCUAUAUCUGAUAUAACUAGUAUCGGUUUAAUCUCAUAGACUAUUGCAGUGGAUUAUGUCAAUGCAGGAAUAUAGGAUAUAUGUCGUAAAAACCAUUCUGCAAUAUUAGCAAGUGAUAGAAAGGGAUAGUGAAUACAUUUUUACCUCUCAUAAGUUCAUCUGAUGAAAUUCAGUUACCUUGGGUUGUUCAUAAGAGUCGCAUAACCAACAAAACGAUCACCGUGCUAUAAAUUGAUUGUUGACAUUGGUGGCAGAAUUUAUGAAAGCGAAUUCGGAGCACUAGAAUCCUGCUUUUGUGUGCUUUAACCUUCUCGUUCUAAAUUAGAGAUAUCUCCCUAGACCUCUGUAGAAUUAUCUUUUUGCAAAAUCCGAAUGUCAUAUAUUGCCUUAGAAAAUUUAAUUCCUUUCUACUUAGAAUAGUGGUCCUCGUUAAACAACUUUUCUAAUGCAUAACCAAUCUCCUGAAUUCGAUGUUUCUUCAACUUAGAUAAGCGUAACUUUUUUCUGUAGAAAUUGCAUACAUACCCAAAUCAGUUUUUCUCUUUUUUUUAGGGCUACAUAUAUUGAUAGAUGAUAUUGGUGGGAAAUAUACAUGUAAUAGGAACAUUUAAGUUUUAACUUCCACUUUGUUUCCUUACUGUUAUGUGUUUCAUUUUCAGGCUGCCAUUCUUGCUGAACUUCUCGGUUCGGGAAGAGCUUCUGAUAAGCUGCUGCAAAUGUAUGUCCCUUUCAUGGUCUUUGCCCUCUGCGCAAUUUUGCGCGGACUCCUCCCUCGCCCUGGACGAGCUGUUGCUGCUGCAUCACAUGCUCCUUCUGCACGGAAAAAGAGGGCCUAGGAGAAAAGUGCUUUCCGCCGAAGCACUCUUUGCUAGAUAUAUUUUCAGGUGCAGCAGUAGUUUAAUGUUGCUGACAAUUUCAAUAUGCCAGGUUUUCUUUUCGGUUUUUAUUUAUUUGAGAGAAUCAAAGAUAAUUUUGACCACUUCCAACUUAGAUUUGCUUUGCAAUUUCGUCAUCUAGUGCUAAAUUAGAACCAAUUGAGUGCUUGAUUUGGAUUAAUUAUGACAUUUAUGAUGCUAUUUUUGAGAAAUCCAUUGUUCUAACAUCUUUGAAGCUCUUUAUGAUGUUUGGAUUCGAAACCUUAGCAUGAGUCAUGUACUUCAAUAUACAACCAGAAUCUAAAUGGAUUUUGCAAGAUCCUACUGAAACUUCAAAAUAAAGAGUGAGACGGUUGGGACCAAUUUGAUCCUAUUUGUAAUGAUCUAGGAUGAACUGUAGCUUAACUAUAUUGAAGUUGUUAUCUGUAUGGGCCAGAUCUAGGGCGGUGUCUUGGAUUGACGGUGUGACAAAACUUAAACCUGCCGCCGCACCUCAUUUAGACCGUCCCAUAUCCGCCCUAUUCAGGGCUUGACACAACGGAGCAGGUUUUCUGCUAAUCCGUCGUGUUGCCAUCCCUAUUCAGAAACCUCCAAAACCUUACAUAACAGAACAGGUUUCCUGCUCAUUCAUCCUGCUGCCAUCCCUGUUCAGGAACCUCCUAAACUUCUUUUGGGUGUAGGGACCUUAAAAAAUCAGAACUCGUGUGCCGGGAAAAGGUUGAUUGCUCCACAAAGAUCUACAAUGGUGUCUUGUUGUUAACCACUGGCAUAAAAAUCUAUACAUAGCGGUGACUAUGGUAUGUAAUUUGUCUACAAAUCUCCCUGAUCUUUCUGAAAUCUUUCGCUUACAAUUAAAGCAAGAAAUUAAGGACCAAAUCCUAAUUUCUCAAAAGAUUAUGAUUUUCUCUUUCAGAAUGGGAAUCAAUUUUGUUAAACCUUCAAUCAUGUCGCUUGACCGCAACCCGCGAAUUAAUUUUGAGUGCAAUCAAAUUGUCAACAUGGUGGUUCCUACACUAGCUAAAAUCUCUUAUUAGAGUAGUUGGCCUCACAUCCAACUAGUUUAUGUCUCCAUCUAACAACCACCCUAAAUUGGAGAUUAGAGAUAAUACUUAUGGUUGGUAGACCAUUUAACUUAAUUAGUUGCCCUCCACUACAUGACCUGUACUUCCUUGUAUCAUAUCAUCACUAAUUUGAUUGGAGAAUUCAUUAAGCAAAUGAAUAGUUAUCCUAUUGUUCUUCGUAUUCCUAUUCUAUGAUUAGGUGCCACCCUAAGUUACAAAUGGACCGAAAUGGACCACAUAUGAUAAGCUCUGGCAAGCAUAGCUCUCAUAUGAGAGCAAUAGGCACCAAAUAGCCUAUGCUUUUUCAAAAAGGAAACCAACAAAGUUAAUAAGCGACCGACCGUACCAAGCACAGUCAAUUAAAACCUAGUUCUUUAUAUUUCUAGCUGAGUUAUUUAUUAAAAAAGAGGAAUGAAGUAGAUAACUUGUUAUCUUUCUCUCUUUUUCGCUUUCAAGAGAACGAGAAAAAAAAAGAGCAAAGCUAAUAAGUGGGUCUUCUUUUAACAACUAUCGGCUUAACCGACUAAUUGUUACUAGGGUUACCAUUAACUCAUGAGGUUGAGAGUUUAAUCUUGUGCUUGUACUUUUACUAAUCGGGUUCGUGCUUCCGAUUUAUUGGAUCAUAAAAUAAUAAUAAUACCUAUAUUGGAAGGUUUCAGUGUUGGGGCCUAGAGGCUAACUCAUUGAAAAAACAAAGAAGAAGAGUGGAUCUCCUUUCAGGAUUUGAUGACUAAUAUCAUUUUUCCUUGUUCUUUAUCUUGUGCCUAGGGUUUUUAGGUUUCUAUAUAUGGUUUGCUUCAUGAUCACUCCCUUAUUUCAACAACCAUUACCAUAAUAAUAAGUCAUUACUUGACAGGUACUUUAUUGGACCCACUAGAAGAUAAGGCCAUAAUUUGUAUCAAACUUUUUUUCCUUGGGAGAGAUAGAGGGCUCCAUUUAUGAAAAAAAUAAGACUAAAUUAUAGAAAAUUUUUCUACAAAUAUUCUCUUUUUUUUUUUUUUUUAAAUCUACAUUUUGUCCUCUUAAAAUUUUAGAAAUAUUUUCANACCAAGCACAGUCAAUUAAAACCUAGUUCUUUAUAUUUCUAGCUGAGUUAUUUAUUAAAAAAGAGGAAUGAAGUAGAUAACUUGUUAUCUUUCUCUCUUUUUCGCUUUCAAGAGAACGAAAAAAAAAAAGAGCAAAGCUAAUAAGUGGGUCUUCUUUUAACUACUAUCGGCUUAACCGACUAAUUGUUACUAGGGUUACCAUUAACUCAGGAGGUUGAGAGUUUAAUCUUGUGCUUGUACUUUUACUAAUCGGGUUCGUGCUUCCGAUUUAUUGGAUCAUAAAAUAAUAAUAAUACCUAUAUUGGAAGGUUUCAGUGUUGGGGCCUAGAGGCUAACUCAUUAAAAAAACAAAGAAGAAGAGUGGAUCUCCUUUCAGGAUUUGAUGACUAAUAUCAUUUUUCCUUGUUCUUUAUCUUGUGCCUAGGGUUUUUAGGUUUCUAUAUGUGGUUUGCUUCAUGAUCACUCCCUUAUUUCAACAACCAUACAAAGAAGAAUAAGUCAUUACUUGACAGGUACUUUAUUGGACCCACUAGAAGAAAAGGCCAUAAUUUGUAUCAAACUUUUUUUGGGGGGGGAUAAAUAGAGGCUGCAUUUAUGAAAAAAAUAAGACUAAAUUAUAGAAAAUCUUUCUAUAAAUCCUCUCUUUUUUAUUUUUCUUUUUGACUUUUAAAAUCUACAUUUUGUCCUCUUAAAAUUUUAGAAAUAUUUUCGGACAGAAAUGACGCUAAUGGAGAGGGUAAAAUGACCAAAUUACUCUUACUUCUUCUGUAAGAAAAAAUAUAAAAUUGUAAUAUUUUUCUGUCAUGUUGAAAGACAUUUUCGGUAUAAAUUAUAAGAAAUAAACGGAGUAGUGAUGAAAUUCUAAAGAAAGUGGAGGGGAAGCUAAAUGCAAUAACUUGAAAUACAUAGAAAGUAAAAUAUAAAUUUUUGAAAGUUAGAACGAGAAGUGAAAAAAUAAAUAUUUAUAAUUUUUUUUUUUACAAUUUAGCCAAAAAUAAAUAAACAAAGAGCAAGUAAAGUAACAUGACAAAAAAAGAAAAAAAAAAAGAAGAGGAAAAAACAAGGGAAAACUUUAAAAACCCUCCCUGUGGUUUCGCACUUUUUCACUUUAAUAUCCCAUGGUUUAAAGUGUAUCAAGUUAGUACUCUGUGAUUUUAUUUUUGUAUCAAGUUAGUACCCUGUGGUCACAGGGUACUAAAGUGAUAAAGUGCGAAACCACAAGGUACUAAAGUGAUAAAGUACGAAACCACAUGGUACUAACUUGAUACAUUUUAAACCAUAUGGUAUUAAAGUGAAAAAGUGUAAAAUCACAAGGUACUAACUUGAUACAUUUUAAACCACAGAAUACUAAAGUGAGAAAAAAUAAAACCACAACGGAGUAUUUGAAGUUUUCCAAAAAAACAAUAAAAGCCUAGUCUAAGGACAAUAAAAAACAGGAAAGGACAAUAAUUUGUACCAGCCAGGUGUAGUUUGUCCAUUGUCAAGCAAUUUUCAUUAUCAUUACCAUCUUUUCUUUUUUUCCAACCAUUGAUUGACUAUACUAUACUCCAUUUUUGUUGGGUUCUUCCACCUUGCACAUCUACAUAACCUCUACAUGAGCUAUGGAUGUAGACAAUUAAUGGCUAUUUAAUUACUUGGUUGGUGAUUAAUUAGCUCCAAGGGGACAUAACAACCAUUUCAAAAUUAAAGAAAAUCUCACAAGAAACACAAGAACAUAAAUUAAGCAUUAUACAUUCAUAAUAUUCUAAUUGCAUCUUAGACUUGUUUUUUUGUAUCUGAUGAGCGAUCGAACACUUGUUAAUUAGCGGGGAUUUGGACCCCGAUCUCUUCUUUGAUGCCCCCACGAUUGUUAUAUAUUUUUUAAAAAGAAAGUUGACAUCACUAGUUAAUUAUUANUUGACAGAAAGGUUUUCAAUAAUUUAGCCAAAAAUAAAUAAGCAAAGAGCAAGUAAAGAAACAUGACAAAAAAAGAAAAAAAAAAAAAGAAGAUAAAAAAACAAUAAAAGCCUGGGCUAAGGACAAUAAAAAACAGGAAAGGACAAUAAUUUGUACAAGCCAGGUGUGGUUUGUCCAUUGUCAAGCAAUUUUCAUUAUCAUUACCAUCCUUUCUUUUUUUCCAACUAUUGAUUGACUAAACUAUACACCAUUUUUGUUGGGUUCUUCCACCCUUGCACAUCUACAUAACCUCUACAUAAGCUAUGGAUGUAGACAAUUAAUGGCUAUUUAAUUACUUGGUUGGUGAUUAAUUAGCUCCAAGGGGACAUAACAACCAUUUCAAAAUUAAAGAAAAUCUCACAAGAAACACAAGAACAUAAAUUAAGCAUAUUAUUAUACAUUCAUAAUAUUUUAAUUGCAUCUUAGAAUUGUUUUUUGUUGUAUCUGAUGAGCGAUCGAACACUUGUUAAUUAGCGGGGAUUUGGACCCCGAUCUCUUCUUUGAUGCCCCCAUGAUUGUUAUAUUUUUUUUUAAAAAGCCAAAGAAAGUUGACAUCGCUAGCUAAUUAUGAUUUAAUUUUAUUCUCGGAAUAAGCUUGGUAGUUGAUUAUGCAUGUAUAUUUGCAUGUUAACACCAAUGUUGUUUGAUUAACUCAACGUGUAUACUUUCUUAAUUUCCUUGUGGAGGUGUUCGAAUCUUUAUAACCUAUAAAAUUUUGGAUAGUUAUUUCAUGUAAAAUAUAGAGUAAUCUAAAAACUGCUGUGUGAAUAGAGUUCUCUAAGAUAUAAAAGUUUUUUUUUUUUUUUUUUUUGGAGAGAUAGAAAGGAUAUUAUCCGUUUCGUUUAUUUUUUUUAAAAAUAACUUAGUUGAGAAUGUAAAUUAAUUAGAAUUCGAACUUGUGAUCUCGGAUACCAUCGUACCAACUACUAAAUUCUUUGCGACGCUAGGCACGGUCGGUUCGGGACAUAAAAGUUAUACCAAACAAAUAUAUAUAGUGAGCUCAAAUCUUGAGAACCCAAAUCCACUUUGACUAUAUAUUUUUAUCGGGUUAUCGGAUUCAAUUGAUAACCACAUUUUGGACUAAUAACCAAUAAAGUACUCUUUUUAUAGUGGUCACAUUCUAUGAACAAGACACUGACAUGUGGGACCCACUCAUUUUUUUAAAAUUUUUUUUUGGGUGGUGCGUAUUAUGUCUUCGCCCCGCACGUAGUCCCUUUUUCACACUAGCCCGGUCGUUGCCGCAACGGCAAUAACAACGGAUAAUAAUUAAAAUAAUAAUAAUAUUAACUAAAUCAUGCACAAAAAGAAAUCAUUCGUGGACCCUGUGCAUGAAGUUAUUCGUGCACCACCGCACCCGCAUAAUAAACAGCGAAUAUUUCUGCUUUUGUUUUCAAAGUGAAAAAGUCCAAAACUUUUAUUAUUGCUGAAAAGCAUAUGUAUAAUUUUGAGGUUUGUUAAAAAUUAAGAUCUCUUAUUAAAAAAAAAAAAAUUGUGUUUCUGGUCUAUACUCCAAGCAUACCCAGUAAAUCCCCACGUAAGAGAGGGGGAUAGGACUAGAGAGAGAAAAUCCGACCACCUACGAAUAAUAAUAAUAAUAAUAAUAAUAAUAAUAAUAAUAUAAAGCCCACCAUUAUUAACCUCCAUUUCCUCCUCGCCGCUCCGUCCCCUUCCUCUCCUCCGCCGCGCCAUGAAGGCCCUCCGACGCGCCCACCGCUUCCUCCGCCGCCUCGUCCGCCUCCUCUUCGCCCUCCUCGUCCGCCGCCGCCGCCACUACCAACCCCUCUCUCCUCCGCCGCCUCCCACGGCCUCCGCCGCAGCCGAAGACCCCCCACCUCCUCCUUCGCCCCCCGACCCCGACCGCGACGCCGACGCCGACGCCGACGCCGAUCUCGUGUCCCUGAAGAUUAGCUUGCUAGGUGAUUGUCGAAUUGGCAAAACGAGCUUCAUGGUAGUGAAAACCCCACCUUUGUUGUUUAAUCUCAAUUUAUUCGGGCGAUUAGGGUUUAAAAUUAACCUAACUUGUUUGUGUUGAUUGAAGAUUAAGUAUGCGGGCGGUGAUGAUGGGGAGGAGCAGAGGGGGCUACAGCUAACAGGGCUUAAUUUGAUGGAUAAGGUUUUGGUGGUGAGGGGAGUUAGGAUUGGGUUUACUAUUUGGGAUGUUGCAGGUGUGUAUUUGUUAUCACUGUGCUCCAACACUUUGAACCUUUUUAAACUUGUUUGGAGAAAAAAGUUAUACUUUUUCUGAUGUAUUUUUUAUAUGUGUUCAUGAAGGUGAUAGCCGAUUCCUGGAUCACGUCCCCAUUGCUUGCAAAGAUGCUGCGGCGAUUCUCUACAUGUUCGAUCUUACGAGCCGUUGCACGCUAAAUAAGUUAGUCCUAUCUAUUUUUAUCUCUGUAUUUUGAUGCUUAUUUUGAUCUUUACAUGGUCCCCGAAUUCACAAUUUAUAUGGAUUUGUAACUAGUGGUGUGCGAAUCUCGGUCAGAGUGUUUAAUUCAAGCGCAUCUUUGGUUUCCGUAUUGUGUGCUAAAUUCAGAUAUAACAAAUAGAACAUAUUGGAGAAAUGAUAGUCUUUGAUCUUUUACUUGUUGUUGGUAUCAUUUACUUGCUACAGUGUUGUUGAAUGGUAUCAAAGGGGAAGAAGAUGGAAUGAGGUAAUACAUUUUGAUCAUCUUCUUGUUACAUCUCGCUACUCUAAUCUUAUUAGGUAGUUAAUUUUGGGGAUCUAUAAGUUUACAGUGAAUGAGUUAGUUUUUGAGAAAGAUAUUUGAAUAUUGUUUCAGCUAUUAUAGUUACUUAUUCUUUUUUUCGUUAAUGUAGACAUCUAUCUCUAUCUUAAUUGGGACGAAAUUCGAUGACUUUGUUCAGCUUCCUCUUGAAAUGCAAUGGACGAUCAUUAAUCAGGUGAUCGAAACUUUUAUCUUCUUAUAAAAGAUGGCUGAUCAAAUGAUCUUCGUUUUUAUCCAAGCAUAAGUUGUGAAAUCAAACGAUCUUCGUUUUUUUUUCUUUUUAUGUUAUUACACUGCUAAUGCUUCAUAUAUGCAUUGUGUAAAUAAGUAUUAACCACGUAAGGAGUAACUGAAUUAAUCAUUAUAACCUAGUAAAUUGGAUCCUUAUGAACUAAUGAUUGACACAGGCUUUUGACUACUUGGCAUGAUAUACCAAGAUAUUAUUGAAGCUCGGAAAUUUAAAGACAUACCACGCAUUUGGCCCUUUAUUCCUAUUUGAUCGAUUUCAUUGAUUUUUAGUAUGUAACAAAUAGAUAUCUUCUUAGAGACUACUUCUGCAGCGAAAGGACUUGAGCUUGAAUCAUCGACUAACUGAUUUAGUUAUCAGUGCAAGAACCAAGUUUGGUAACUGAAGUGAUUAACCUCAACAACUGUUGCAAAAUCCAAUCAUAAAUAGUCUGAGUAUUUAUUUCAAUAUGUUCAUUCAAUCAAACAGGGGCUUUCCAUGUACUGGCAUAUUGAUUGAGUAGCUUAAAUAAGGAUCUCUCAAAUUUGGUGGACCCCUUAUGUGCUCCCCAGAUCAAUUUGUAUCAACCUUGUGCUCUCUUUGUGGACCCCCAUGUUUGGAAAAUCACAUAUUACCUAAAGUAAAGGCCAUUUUUUGUUGGAUAAGAGACAUUUCGUGAAACUCACGCCAUUUGAAGUGUCUAGUGUCAUGAAUGUGAGAUGGAUGGUCAUUAGCCCAUUAUAAAUGUUGUAUGGUAGGUCCUCCUGAAAGUGAGUUCAAUUUUAUUGGGAAAAAAACAUCUAUCUCUUCACAUGGUGCUCAGAUUGUGGUUGUAGCCACUGUUGCUCACUCAAAUUGCCAAAAGAAGUGAAAAGUUAAGAGUUUUUUUUUUUUUUUUUUUGAGAGAGAAAGGUAGCAUGCUACUUGUUUCGUUUAUUUCUAAAAGGAAAUGUGAAUCAACUAGAAUUCGAACUAAGGUCUCGGGUACCAACCACCAAGCCUUUUUGCCACUUACGCUAGGGACGGUCUGUUAAGGUUUUUUUUAAAACAAAUUUUACCCCGAAGAUUGGAGCUUUGUUGUGGCAAGAUGUUGGGAUGAGCUUUUGAAGCCGCACUUUCUUCAAAAGCUCAAGUCAGGCCAAACAGGCCCUUGGUUGCUCAUAGCAUGGUUUUUAAAACUUGAAUUUAAUGAUGCUUAUUAUUAUUAUUAUUAUUACUCAGGCCAGGGCAUAUGCAAGAGCAAUGAAAGCAACUCUCUUCUUUUCGAGUGCUACCCACAACAUAAAUGUGAACAAGAUCUUCAAGUUCAUCACAGCAAAGAUCUUCAACCUGCCAUAUACCGUGAAGAGGAACUUAACCAUCGGAGAGCCUAUUAUAGAUAUUUAGGUCCUAAGUUUCUUUUUUCCUAUCGUCUGCUUUCUCUGUUGGUACCUUGAAGUACAGCUUCUAUCGUAGAGUUUCAAUUCCUGCAGUGUAGAUAGCGAAACACGAGUCAUAAAGAGCCACGCAUUCGUCCCUCUUAUUUUGUUUUCCUAUCUCCUUUUAGUUUAAAUGCUGGGGCAAAAUAUGGAUAAAACACAAUCAAUAUGUAUCUUUGCAUCAUAAGUUUUAGAAGGUUUAUUGUAUAUCCAUAUAGCUUUCUCAGGUAUGGAUGGUAAUAAGUUUUCGACUAUAUUUACAUCUUGGUCUAGAUUUUUUUUGCUGUACUUUGAUGUUACUACAAUAAUAAAAUGCACCAUUGGUCAUCAACCUUCUAAUAUAGUUUCAAUUUGGUCUUCGAUCUCUAAAUUGUUAUGACCGAAUCUCUAGUCUUUUACUUCUAUUCGAUCAAACCUUUCUGUCGAAUUUUUGUGUAAAGUUGAAAGAAAAUUGUCCUGCAACUACUAUGAAAAGGCCAUCAAAACCAAAUUGAGUAUAUCAUAUGAAAAGAAGUCGGAAAAGUUACUUUUAUGAUGAUGACAUAUUGAUAAAAAAGACUAUUAACUGUGAUGGAAUGUCAAGUUUGGGAACUGAAUCAUGAAAAUUUAAAGGUGAGAACGAAAUGGAAAUUGUGCCUUACAAAGCAUGGUAAGGUCCCUUCCGCCUCCUCGACGAGCAUUCCGACACAAAGAUACAAAGAGAGUAUAAGAGGAUGGAAAAAAUCGACUAAUAAAUAUACAUUUUCUCACCUCUUUUCCAGCCCCAUGUUCUGCUCAAGAUCUCACAUAUUUUUUAUGCAUAUUAUUAAAGCGAAGCAUCCAUUCUGGUAUCUCUUUGUGCUUAUAUUCAGUAAUCUUCAGUGGACCAUGAAUUGUUGGAGACCUCAAAAGUGAUACAUCCGGAAAGAUUGCGUCGGAAUCUGCAAAAAAAGACAAACAAAAAUUAUAAAAUAAAGAAUGAAUAUAAGCAGUAUGUCUUUCCGAUGCAAUCUUUCCGGAUGUAUCACCUUUGAGGUCUCUAACAAUUCAUGGUCCACUGAAGAUUACUGGAUAUAAGCACAAAGAGAUACCAGAAUGGAUGCUUCGCUUUAAUAAUAUGCAUAAAAAAUAGGUGAGAUCUUGAGCAGAAGAUGGGGCUGGAAAAGAGGUGAGACUGUAUAUUUAUUAGUCAAUUUUUUCCAUUCUUGUAUACUCUCUUUGUAUUUUUGUGUCGGAAUGCUCGUCGAGGAGGCGGAAAGGCACUUAAUCUUAAUACUAUCAUCCAAAUCAUCUUCGUUCAGUUCAUCCUAACUGGUGGAAAGAUGCACCUCAAUUUAGUGGUAAAAUUUAUUCCAAAAAAACUUUAACUCUUCACUUGUUUUGGCAAUUUGAGUGAGCAUUAGUGGCUAUAUAUAGCCACAAUCUCUGAGCAACAUGUGAAAUAGAUGUUUUUUUUCCCAAUAAAAUUAAACUCACUUUUAGGAGGACCUAUCAUACAACAUUUAUGAUGGGCAAAUGAUCAUCCAUCUCACAUUCAUAGAACUAGAACUAGACACUUCAAAUGUCGUGAGUUUCACGAAAUGUCUCUUAUCCAACAAGAAAUGGCCUUACUUUAGGUAAUAUGUGAUUUUUCAAACAUGAGGUCCACAAAGAGAGCAUAAGGUUGAUAAUUAGCCACCUCUUAUAUGGCAAAUUGAUCUGGGGAGCACUAAAGGGGUCCACCAAAUUUGAGAGAUCCUUAUUUAAGCUACUCAAUCAAUAUGCCAGUACAUGGAAAGCCCCUGUUUGAUUAAAUGAACAUAGUCGCUAUCGAAAUAAAUACUCAGACUAUUUAUGAUUGGAUUUUGCAACAGUUGUUGAGGUUAAUCACUUUAGUUACAAAACUUGGUUCUUGCACUGAUAACUAAAUCAGUUAGUGGAUGAUUAAAGCUCCAGUCCUUUCGCUGCAGAAGUAGUCUCUAAGCCUGUGUUUGGUUUGAGGUUAAUGGGGGAAUAACCCCUUAAUCCCGAAGUUACUCCCAAAUACAAUAAAAUAGGGGUGGAGUUAACAAACCCCCCCUAAGAUAACCCGUUAGAGGUGGCGUUAACAAACCCCACCCCCCAUAGAAUUGGGGUGGAAAAAGUUAAUCCCACCCCAAUUCAAUUUUUUAAUUAAAAUUAAAAUUUUAAAUUUUGAUUUUUAAAUUUAAAUUUGUAUUUGUAAGUUUAAAAUUGAGACAUAUAAUUUUAAAUUAUUAGUUUUAAAUUUUAAAUUUUAUAUUAUUAUUUUUUUAAAUUUAAAAUUUAAAAUUUGAUAUUUUUAAAUUUAAAUUUAAUCAUAAAUUUAAAAUUUAGAACUUAAAAUUUUUGAAUUUGAGAUUUAAAAAUUAAUUUUUAUUUAAAUUUUUUAAAUUUUUAAAGUUAUUAACUUAAAUUUAAAAUUUUAAUUAUAAAUUAUAAAUAUUUAAAUUUAAAUAUAAAAUUAUUUUCUAUUUAUAACAACCCACUAUCCUUCUUAUUUCAGUUACCCCAACCAAACACUAUUUUAUUUAUAUCUGGACUAAACCCAAUACUCAACCAAAUACAAAAUUACUCUAAUCUCAUCUUAACCCUGAACUUAAUUCUAUCCCUGAAAUAACUAAUUCUUACUUAACUCCGAACCAACGAAGCCUAAGAAGAUAUCUAUUUGUUAGUUGUUACCAACUAAAAAUCAAUGAAAUCGAUCCAAAUAGGAAUAAAGGGCCAAAUGGGUGGUAUGUCUCUAAAUUUUCAAGCUUCAAUAAUAUCUUGGUAUAUCAUGCCGAGUCGUCAAAAGCCUGUGUCAAUCAUUAGUUCAUAGGAAUCCAAUUUACUAGGUUAUAAUGAUUAAUUCAGUUACUCCGUAUGUGGCUAAUACUUAUUUGCACAAGGUAUAUACGAAGAAUUAGCAGUGUAUAACAUAAAAGGAAAAAAAAAAAACAAAGAUUGUUUGAUUUCACAACUCAUGCUCGGAUAAAAACGAAUAUCAUUUGAUCAACCAUCUUUUAUAGGAAGAUAAAAAUUUCAAUACCUGGUUAAUGAUCGCCCACUGCAUUUCAAGAGGAGGCUGAAUCAAGUCAUCGAAUUUCGUCCCAACAAGUAGCAAAAAAAAACAUCAUUAAAAUAAUUAUCACACGUUAAAUUUUAAAAAUAUAUUUCCAAAAUUUUGGAUAUCUAAUAUGUAGACUUUUUCUGCAUCCUAGUAUCUCAGAAUAAAUAAUUCAAAAAAAUCAAUAAUAUAAAAAGAGUUAUUAUUAUACAUUAGACUAAGAAAGUACAAUUAAAAACUUGUGAAUUUUUUAGAUGCAAAGAUUCCGAGCUAUGUUUUACAUGACCGGUCCAUAGUGGACCAGGUCCAGGCAACAAUUUCUCGUCUUGAAGUCUGGUUUAGAGUAAUUUGAUACGAAGUUGAGGGCAAAUAUGGAAUUUUAAAAAAAAUCCAUGUGAAAACCCUAACUCUCUUCACCUCCACGAAUAUAUAUACAUAAACCCCUCGUCGUCUACACCGUCUCCGGCCGCUCGAAGAGGAAUCGGAGGAGGAUACUUCGGAUCCGAGAGACUAAACCCUAGGCGCAAUCAUGGUAAUAUGACUCGCUUAGAUCCAAAUCGUACGCUUUUACGAUCAAAUGAGGAAGUUUUAGAUCGAAAUAUCAUAGCUUUGCCAGGAAUAUUAGUUGAAAAUUGACGAUUUUAGGGAGUAAACGAUGCUGAUGCUGUGAUCCGGAACAUAUAGGUGCUCUUUGUGUUGUAGAAUUUGGGUUCAUAGUGUUUGUUGCAUUCUAGGGUUUGGAUCGGAUGCUUAAUGAAGGUAAAAGUCACGAAAUUGGGAGAUUGGUUAUCGCAUAUUAUAUAUUGGUUUUAAAAUAAAUUUUUAAGUUUUGCUGCUUAAGUGUUGAAUUAGUUUGGCACUAUAAAAAAUUUUUUAGUACAAAGGAAAAGAAAUAGUAGGUGUUCAUGUAGUUUGGUGCAAGGAACAGGUGUUUAUUAGGUUGAACUGUAGCUGGGGGAUUGUAGGGGCUAAACUGGAUGUAAUAUAUUAGUUCAAAAUUUCAGUAUAGUAUAAUUUUUGCAUGCCUGCGACCUUUGCAUUUUUUAAUCUCUUGUUACGUUGCUCAUCUAUUGCUUGCUCGUUAGAAAACUGAUUAGCUUGCGCUUGUUCUUAUUCAACCUUUAUCGGAGCAAAGCUUAUACUUGAAUAGGGAAUAUGGCAAUUGGCACACCCGGUUACUAAUUUUACUAUUGAAGUGCUUAAUGUCUUCAUCUGCUUUUCCAAUCCAACUUUGUUAUUGUGGAAUGAUCUAUCAAACUACGAAGCGACAGAAACAUUUGAAAAGGAGUUUUUUUUUUUUUUUAAAAAGUCAAGAGUCCUGUCACUUGCCAGCUCUGGAAAUAUUGGUCCUUAAGUGCUGGACUUCCUAUUUUUCAUUCAGUUCUUUGAAUUUUGCCAAUGAAACCUUUGAACUACCUUCUUGCUAGUAAUAGUCAAUUGCAAAGAUCCAAACUUUUGCAAUGGUUGAAACCUUGUGGACAUUGCUGGAUGAUUUAGUUUGUGGAGGAUUCGUAUAUCAUUGCAGAUCGUUAUUUUGCGCCGGCGUUUCUGCUGCUAUUGUAGUUCUUGUUAUUCAUAGUUUUGCUUGGUGGUUCUUGCCCAUGCAACCUUUUGCAAAAUAUAUUUGUUUUAUAGGUGAACGUUCCAAAGACGAAGAAGACGUACUGCAAGAACAAGGAAUGUCGGAAGCACACCCUCCACAAGGUCACUCAGUAUAAGAAAGGUAAAGAUAGUCUCUCCGCUCAAGGGAAGCGCCGUUACGACCGAAAGCAGUCGGGUUAUGGUGGACAAACAAAGCCCGUUUUCCACAAGAAGGUAAUGUAAUCACUCGUUACUACGCUGGAUAUAUUACUGUUCCUACCAUUAGUGGUACCUCUAGAGUAAUUAAGAGAUGUUUCAAGUUAUGUACUUUUGAUAGUGGAAUAGAUUAACUUGUAUCCAUUUAUUAUUGUCCUCUUGGGAGAACUAAGGAAUGCAUGGUAAUUUUACAUAUUCCAGGCAAAAACGACCAAGAAAAUUGUGUUGAAGCUGCAAUGUCAGAGUUGCAAGCAUUACUCUCAACACGCAAUUAAGGUUUUCUAUUUUUAGUUAUAUGCGUUUAUGUUUUAAUAUGCUGCUUAUAUUAUCUGUUUCUUGAGUAGUUAGUUAACUUUGGUAUCUUGUUACGCAGAGAUGCAAGCAUUUUGAGAUUGGUGGAGACAAGAAAGGGAAGGGUACAUCUCUUUUCUAAUUUGUUGGGCAUCUCCCAGUUUGUUACUUUAUUGCCUUUUAUUUUUCCCUUAAAUGAACAAGUAUUAAGGGAGGUUCUUUCUGAAGUAUUGAUGUCAUUUUCAAAUUUUUGUUUAAUGAAUAUUGGCACUGAUAAUGUUAGUUCCCUUCUAUUUUGUUGACAAUGGUUGGUGCAUCCUCUAAUAGACAGGAUAAAAGAAAAUUCGCUGCUUUAACCAUUUAGUUUUGUACUGCCCAGAAUUGUCGUAAGUUCAAAUAAAGAGCAUUUUUCAUGAUAUUAAUUACCAACCAUGCAGUGAGCUAGUAGUAAACAUUUUCUGGUUAUAAGUACCAUAUGGUUGCUUUUGCUGGAUCUUUCCUUCUUCACCUCACCUAAUUUUUUUCGUAUAACAUUAAUUAGUGUGUGGUAACUUUGUCGAGAGGUGGUUAAUCAGGUGAUGGUGAUUAUUAUGAUUAGUGUUAAGUUUGGUUGUUUUCAAUAGCUGUUAAUUUUUGGGUGUUCAAGAUGAAACAAUGUGAGCUAACAAUUUCUGGCUAAAUGAGAUCCUGAAGUUGUGUUGUAUUACUAUAAUAUAUGCUUAUGCAUGAAAAAAUGAGAGAGAGAGAGAGAGAGAGAGAGACCAAAGCUGUCUCAGUUUCCUAAAUCAUGGAUGUUUGCUUACUGCUUUAGUGAAUAAAUCAAACUAGUUACUAAUGUAACUCCCAGCAUUUAGCCUAGUUGGAACAAAUUGAAACAUGUUAGAAGCACAUUUAGCCUAGUUGGAGCUUCUCCAUAAAGGGCUGUUUAAGCAUAAUUACUCCAAAAGACACUUAAACAGUUCUUUUCAUCAAAAUACUCCCAAAAUUUUGAAAUGGAGCUUCUACUUUUCAAUUCUAGAAUUCCAUUUCAGCUUUUACCUGUAGUUGGUCGCCGAGCACCUCCACUUCUGCUUCUGAGAAUAGAGAGGCCUAUUUCGACAGGCUACUGCAGGGAAGGAAAUACUCUGUAUUCCAUUUGAAUACCAAAUAGGGACAAAUCAAAAAUCUCCAUUAAGAUACGUAUUUAUAACAAAUUGCAAGUUGCAGCUCAUGUACAGCAACAAAGUACUCUGAUCCAAACAGAGAAGCAUUACAGAGAUAUGAAUAAGAAGGCCAUAGAGAGAGAGAGAGAUCCACAAUAGGUAUCAACACUAAGCAACAAUCAUGUGCUAAACCCUCUCAGCCCUCUUCAUAUCAAAUAGCUGUUUUCAACUGAGAUGGGGACAAUAACAAUAUCAACCCACCAUGUCAUGCACACACUUCACACACCCAAACAAAAACACAAUGCAAACAAUAAAAAAUAAAACAAUUCAUUAUUUCCUCAGGUACUAAACAAGACAAGCUAGCCUAAGUUUUAUUACUAUUUAAAAUGAUAACAUAUCUACAAAUACCUGCUGAUACUAAGAUGCUAGAAUACCAAUACUACAUAUGCUGGGCCGCUGCGAAAAGUUGGCUCUACUGCUCUGCGAAGCCGGAAAAUCUACUAGGGGUAGCGAACCGGAUAGAGACUUUGUCAUCAAAUCUUGUGCGGAUUCCAAUAGUUUAAUUCUUUGCCUGCAAAAUUAGAAAAAGAAAAAUUAUGUGAUUAGAUCCAAUGGUAUUUAACUGAUUGGAAUGAAGAGCAAGAUUCGAUGACCAGUCAAACACUGCAAGCAAAAUUGUUUCAAUCAUAGACUGUAAUAACCACUGCAGGCAGUUCUUCACCUCUUCUUUCUCCUUUUUCUCCAUUCGUUUUCACAUUUAAUUUUACUAUUUCUCUCUUAUACCUUGUUGAGAAGAGUUCUCAUAUGAGUUUAGCCAUUAAAGAUGAAACCUAGAUGCUUGUAAAUUCAAGGUUAAACUAAAAUUACAGCGAGGAAGAGAAUUAGGAGAUUAAAGGCAUCAAAUUACCUGAGAAUAAAGGAAGGUGCCCAAAAUGGCGAUGGCCGCUCCGAGCGCGUUGACGGGUUGGACUGGCGUGUGGAAAAUAAUGAUAGACGAGACAAUAACUGAUAUCCUCUUCAUAGUGUUGCCAAUGCUAAAGGUUAAAGGAGAGAUCUCAUCCAAGGACAUGUAGGAGACCUGGUUGUACAAGUGGUAGAAGAUGCUCUGCGCGGCUACCCACCUGAUCAUACAUGAUUCAAGAACCACAAUAAAUCAAAACUGAACAAAAAUAAAAAAUACAACAAUGCGUUUCAGAAAAGGUAGCAAAAUUAUAUGUUGUACUGUCUAAGUUAGCGAACGUUUAAAGGUGUUUGAUUCGAUGACAAAUUCUUUGGCAAGGACUUUCCUUUUAACAAUCGACUAGAAAGUUGGUGCAAAUAUUGUUUUACAUUUGAUCUUACAUCGUGGAACGACUGCAGUGAUUACAGGGUUAACUUGAGAUAAGAGCGUUGCAUUACCAGAAUAAAUUGAUUUGAUUGUAACAAUUAUCCCUCCACCCUUUUCAUGUUAAACAUAAUAAGGAGAAUAACUUAUCCCCUGGUUUUGUGCUACCUUUGUUUUGUGAUUGUUUAUUGUUAAAGAGUAGAUGGUGAAAAUGCCAACAAAGAGAUAAUUGAGUAAACACUAGAACCUUCAUGUCACAAACAAUGUAAAGCAUGUAUAAUGACCACACGUAUCUACCUAUUACUAGACGGUAACAUGAAUUCUGAAACAGGACAAGAACUGCGACAAAAGAACUCUCUUUUUCUGUCACUAACCUCCUGAAUGAAGAAUGAGAAACACAUUCUUAGCAACUUUAACAGACAUUCAUCGGCCAAACGCGAGGCAUGUGAAUGAUAACAUAAUAAAUUUCAUCUAUAAUACUAGCAAAAGUAUCUAUGGUAAGUUCAAAAAUAAUGUCGCAAUUAGAAAUUACCAUAUGAAAUGGGGACCGAUCUGCGAAAUCGCCUUCUCCCAACCUGCCGCCCACAUCUGCGGUCCCUCCACCGCGAAGGCGAAUGGGGUGAGAAUGAGCAGAGAGAGCAUGGAGAGGCAGGCAUAGUAGUUCAUCCCGCCAACCGACUUACCCUUCAUCCCUUUCUUGGAAAAUAUGUUGCGGAAAACAAAUGCGAGGUUCGAGAUCAUAGCUCCCAUGAAUCCUGCAAAGAUUACCAAAUAGCCAAGAAGAUUUCAUCAGUUUAAGAGUUCAUAAAUAUACUACAUAACAGUAUUUAUCAUGGAAAACACAACACAACAGGGCUAAAGGGGAUGUGAAAGGACAAUGACUUGAGAAAGAAAAAAGAGAGUAUUUGGCCAACAACAUCCUACAUAGAGUCAAUAAAGAUUGAGCCACAUACAAAUUUCAGCAGAAGAGUUCUCACAGAAUUGGUUAAUCAAACAAGUAAAAGAACAAUUACAAUACUACUGAGAAACACCAACAAUACCAAAAUUUUGAAUACUAUAUUAUUAUUAUAGUAUUUUGGAGUAAUUUAUUAUCAAAGUAUCAUAAGAGAAGGUUUGGACUGAAUCCUUGACAAAGACAAAAAAAAGUAUGAUCUGUUACAAUACCUUCAGAACAGAUAGUUUUUUUCGAAAAAUUAAUUCGAUAAUAAAUGUUUCAUAAUGAAAGAGCAAACACUCAUAAAUUUAUCUUUGUGAUACUCCUCUUACCAAUCAUGUUGAAAUUGAGCUCCGUCACUGCUGCGAGAGCACAACCGCCGAUGAUCGGAAUGAGCGAGAGGUAAACCGGCACCGGAAAAGUCUCCCCCAAGAGGAACCUCGACACCACCACGCUGAACGCCGGCUCAGCGCUCUUAAUGAUAUGCGUGAACGACACCGCCACCUUCGACAUGCUCACCGUCGCGGCCACAUGACCGAUCGUGUGCGCCACCGCAACCUAACGCACAAACUACAUGUCAAAAACAGCUUUUUCUUCACAGAUAAUCCGAGAAUUGAGAGCAAAAUCCAAUUUUUUACAUACGGGAGCUAGAGCUUUCCAGAAUUCGAGAUCGGUCUUAGGAGUCUCGGCAAUCCGAGUGGCCCAGGAGACGAGCAUGAUGAGGGAUCCGGCCGCGAGGGAGAGGGUCGAGGUGAGCCAUGGGUAAGGGAACGCGUUGAGCACCUUCUUGUUGUAGAUGUUGAACACCACGUUGAGCGCCCACCACGUCGCGAAGUAGACCCCGAUUUUAGCCCUCUGCGCCGCCUUAGCUGCCGUCGCCGUCGCCGCAGCCGCCGCGGCCCCGGCUUCGCCGGCGCCGCCGCCUUGGGCCGGGAUCUCGAUCCCCUCCGGACGCUCCGACUCGAACGCCCGCGGCCGGCGCUCGGCGGGGGGGUCCCCGCACCAGAUGCGGAGCCCCUCAACAGGGGUUCGACACAAGGGCUUAAGCAAGAAAACCGACACCAAUUCAGGGUUUUUGGACGCAGGGAGCGGAGGAAGAAGCGAAGAGCUAAGCGCCGAAGCUCUGGGCUUGGAUCUAGCGAGGUUGUGGGCGGUAAGCGCCGCCGAGGAUUGCUUCACGGACAUCAUGGACGCCAUUGGGGCCGAAACAGGGAGCAAAAACCCGACCUUUUUGCUCCAAAUCCCUCGUGGGUUUCAGGAGAAACCCUAAUUUAGAGAGAGAGAGAGAGAGAUAUAUAUAUAUAUAGAGAGAGAGAGAGAGAGGGAGAUAUAGAGAGAGAGAGAGAGAGAGAGAGGGGAUGGGGUGAGAGAUGGAGGGGGAGGAGAAGAGGAGCUCGGUAUUUAUAGAUAAAGAGAGAGGGAGAGGAGUUUAAUUUGAUUUGUUUAAUAAUAAUUAAUAUAUUAAUAAUAAUAUGAAUUAGAUUUGGGAAAAAGAAAAUACAAAAGCGAAAUCAUUUGAACACGUGGCAUAUUUUUACUUGUUGGGUUAAUCUACGCUAGCUCCAGGGACACUGUUUCGUCCACCCGGUCCACCACGUCAUCAAAGACCGCCGCGCUGUCAAUGUUUGGUGAAUUUCAUUGAACGGUAAAGAUCUGAAAGGGUGAGAACGAACGGCAGAUGCUUAGUCGAUGCAGAGAUGAUAUGAUGCACUCGGCCCAUGUAUAUUUUCUUUCUUCGUUCAUUUGAGAAGGCGGAUUCGCUACAACCUGGUUCGUAGCUAUCGCAGGGGAAAGUGGUACGUGGCAUUAUGUUAUUGGGUAUUAAACCGUACAACCGAGUAGGACAAGUAGGGGAUCAAAGAGAGUAGCAAAGUUGGAACAUGAGAAAGUGAUAGAACGCCUAUGGGCGUUGGAAGGACCAAUUUAAUGUCAUAAAGAUAUUUUAAAAAAACUAUAUUAAAUAUAAUUUUCAUAUAUUAUUAUUAUUAUUAUUCAUAUAUAAUUCCCCUCCUAUUGUGAAGUGUAGUAGGAACUGUCAUUGGUGUAAAAGAUAUUCGUAUAGUACUAAAUUAAUUUGAUCAAAAUUAAUGCAUUCACUCUUUUACAAUUGAGAUGUAAAUCGUGUUUUUGUUUUUUUUUUUUUUGGUUGGCGUGAGAUUGUUUAUUGGGAAAACUUCAAAUACUCCAAGUGAUUUCAUACUUUCUCACUUUAGUACCCUAUAGUUUUAAGUGUAUCAAGUUGGUAUUAUGUGAUUUUGCACUUUCUCACUUUAGUAUCUUGUGAUUUCAAGUGUAUUAAGUUAGUACCCUGUUAUUUUAUUUUUGUAUCAAGUUAGUACUCUAUAGUUUCAAUUUUUUCUUUUUAUUAUCCAUUUCGGGGUAUAUAAUUUAACGAAUUAUUAAACCACAGGAUAUUAAAGUAAGAAAGUGCGAAACCACAGGAUACUAAUUUGAUACACUUGAAACUACAUGAUACUAAAGUGAGAAGGUGAGAAACUGUAGAAUACUAUUUUGAUACACUUUAAAUCAUAUGAUAUUAAAAUAAAAAAGUACGAAAUCACAGGAAUGAUAUUUGAAGUUUUCCUGGUUUAUUUUCGUGUCAAAAGUAAAGACAGGACUCGUGAGCAUGUCCAACGCUCUUCCUCACGUGUUUGGAUUUGCUACCAAGCUCGCAAGAUUAAGAGCGUGCAUCACAUCCUUUUUAUGCGUUCAAUUCUCCUGCGAACUCGCCAAAGCAGUCUAAAUUGCUGACACAAACCUCACUACACUACUACCUUUGCCUCGUGACCUCUGCAUGCACGCACGAAUUUAUUAUGACUAGCACAGUUGGUUGCACAUUUGAUGUCCUAAAAUGUCCAGCUAGUAUAGAGGACCAAAAAAAGGAAAACAAUUAGUCUAACUAAUAAGCUUAAAUGAGAAUGUAGUUGAACAAAUAUGGGUGAAGGAAUUACUUAAUUAGCUUAGAAUUGGUUUAAUGUUUGUACACAUAUAGAAAACUUGGUUUUUGUGCAACUAAUCUAAUUAUAAUUUAGAGUCUGGCUACAGUACUAUCAAUAGCAUCAAGUAUUUGGUAUUUUUAAGUUUUCUGCUAUUAAAUCUACCUCUUCGACCAUUUUCAUCUGUUAGAGCAUACUAUUCAACCAAUCACCCACACAAUUCUAAAAAACUACUAUCAUCCGAAUCGUACAUCAUUUCAUCCAUGGGCCGAAAACUUAAUAGCAUCGAUGACUUGGCGCUAUUAGUAGUAUUCUAGUUUAGUUCUCUGAUUCAUCAUAUUUCUAACUUAAAUUUUCGAAAGUACAAUUAAAGGUUCAAGAUUUAAAUGGAAUUGGAUGCCAAAAAUUAACUUGAAAAAAAAAACUGAUGUUUGUAUUAAUGUGCUAAAACUUAUUUCUCCAUUAUAUGUAGUGGUUGCAUUACAGUUGGGAAUGAUUUUAAUCUAAGUUUCACAUGCUUUGCAUUUUUGAUUUAUUUCACAUGGAAUAGUAAGUUUUACUCUACCAACAUUUUAAUUUCUGCACUAUCCUCACAUUGCAUAACAGUGUCUUAAAAUUUUAAUUUAAAUUCUAAAACUUGAACAUCCUCGCAUAUCAUAAAUCUGAUUGAAAGAGCUAAGUGAACAACAAUUGAGAACGGGAUAAGAUCGAUUGAACAAUGGUUGAACCGACCGACCGUCCCUAGAGCAAGCGGCAAAGGGUUUGGUGGUUGGUACCCGAGGUCCCAAGUUCGAAUUCUAGUUGGUUCACAUUUCUAGCUAAGUUUAUUUCUAAAUGAAAUAAACGAAGCACGCUAAAAAUAAUAAUAAUAAUAAUAAUAAUAAUGGUUGAACCGGAAAAAAUACUAAACUGUUUAGAAAGAUACAAAUUAACCUCUGAUAAUGACUAAACCGAAUCUAAUACCGUAUAAAGGAGUUCAGUUCAGAACUGACCCAAAAAUAUCAUGUGGUCCUGAUAACAAUAUAUACAACUGGAAUCGAUUUCAGACCGUUGAAAUUUAAACUGUGGAAAAUAGUAAUAAUUUUCAUGUCUUUGGUCCAGUUCGUUGAAUUCAUUGUCAUCUAAUUUGGCAUCACGCUUGCAAUAAUAAUACGCCCUGUUUGUGUUCUGCUCUCCGACUUUGAAAGGCGCGGGAAAUUGGCGCGCAUCUUCAUCGAGGAGUGGGCCAUGCUGACCGUUGAAGGGCCGCCACGUGUCACGUCUCCCACGUGGGCGGGUAUGUGAGCCCGGAUCCGAAACAACCGUUGUUUUCCGCGUGCGCGUACGAAUGCAAACGGAGCGGAUCAGAGAGCAAGACGCAUGGCUCACCUACCGUCCUGUUUUCUUGACGAAUUUUAAAAUAUUUUAUUUAAUUUAUUAUUUCGUUGGAAUGAAUUUUUUACGAAUUUUUGAUAAAUAAAAAUUAGAUGGAAUUUUUUUUUCGAUCCUUUGGUCUCGUGUUUUUUAGUGGAUUAGAAUAAGUUUAGGACGAAUUAAUUUUAUUCUUUUUUUGAAUUAAUCGAAAUGAGCAGAGACAAAAGUGUCGUGGGUUUGGAUCCAUUUGCAUUCCUACACGCGGGUCGAAUACGCACCGUUGGGUUCGAGUCGCGUCACCUGUCACCACCAAACCUCGGCGGCUUCAACAACUUUCUCUCUCCUUGAGAAGCGUCGUUUCCGCUUAUUAAUAUGACAACAAAAUGCUGUCCUAGGGAUUCCUGUGGCCUCAUUGCAGCCCAUGCCCAUGAGAGCGAUGAUGGUGAUUUAAUAUGGCAUUAUUAUUUUUUUUAUUAUAUUAUAAAGAACCAUUAUUUUUUUGGACUAAAAUACACAAAAUCUUCUGUUAAUAUCCAUUUUUCAUAUUUUCUCAUGUUAUUUAAAAAUCUAUAUUUUAUCUCUUAAAAAAUAAAAAAUGUACACUCCGGUCUCUAUCCUCAGUAUUACAUUAUUUUUUAUACCCAAAACAUCCCUGAAACUCUGAUCCUCCUCAUUUUUCUUCAUCGACUACACGUUCUCGCCCUUCUUCGCUGCCUUGCCCUCGCAAGCUCUCAGCCCAUACCCACCACGAUCUCCUCCCUACAGUCACUGAAGGGCGGUGAGGGUGCUGGAGAAGCAGGAGAGCAGGUGGAGAAAACAAAGUCGGAGCUGGGGUCUAGGGAGGCGCGGGGAAGGGUGCGGGAUGAACAGGAUUGGGGAGGAGACGAAGAAGAUGAAAGCAAUUUAGUCAUUUUGUCAUAUCGUAUCCCGUGUGAAUAUUUUUUUUAUUUUUUAAGGGGGCAACGUAUAGGUUUUUGAAUGAUAGUGACAGAUAUUGACAGGAGAAUUUUUUGUAAUUUAGCAUUUUUUUUUUAACGAAAUAAUUUCAUUGCUCAUCAGCAUCAUAACCAACCGGAAUAAGAAUAAUUCAUAUUAACUAAGAUCGAUUCAAAUUUUGAUUGACAAUGAAAGAAAUUAUACCCUUUAAACUGUGAGUGAUAUUAUUAUCGGAGCUGAUUAAGUUUUUAUAAAUGUGAUAUGUUUUUAUUAAAAGUUUUCUAAAGUUAAGAUCAGACAAUUGAAUGGUCAAAACAUGCCACCAUCAUUUUCUUUAUUUUUGUCGGUAACAAACUCUUUGUGAAAUUUCUUUGCUAAUCCCUCUACUGCAACAUCCCGUCCACUUCAUAUGAGUCCAAAAUUAAAUGUGUAACUCACGAACUAUGGUAGGUGUUCAAAAUAUCAUUUGUUUAUUGUAAAUUAAAGAAGUUUCGAAAUCAAAUGAAACUUUCAAAAACUUUUAGAAAUCACAGUAAUAUAUAUCUCUACAUGCUUUUAUCCUGAUUCCUGACUCUUUUUUUUUUAAUAGCAUCAGAUAUGCUUCAAUACCAAACUAGGCCUUAAUUAAUAACUUGGUAAUGUAUUACCAUGGAAAUGAACCUGCGUUUAUAGAUUAAAUCACAACUCAAAGUUAAAAUUGAUCUUCCAAUAGGCAUUCAUUCCACAACAAAGCAACAAUCAUCAAAAUCAAGCCAAAAGAUUAGUCCAAAAACAAUGACUAAAUUAUUCAUUAAGGGAGAAAGAAGUGCCACUGAUGGUUUGUGGCAACUUAGCCCAACAUGAACAAGAGCUUUUCAGAAAAAGCAGUACUCAUAUAGAAGAAGAGUUUUUCCUUUUUAUUUGUAAUAUGAAAGCAGGAAAAAGGAUAGUUUAUUUCAAGAACCUUAGAUUGUAUAGCAUUUGUAAGAAGUCAAUUCCCGAACCAAAGCCAUCGAUUUCCGGCGAAGCUGCGGUUCGUUCUUGACUUGCUCAUAAAAACUAUACUCCUUUGCUGCAACCAAAGAAACAAAAGAAGUGAAGAUGUUAGAAAACUGAACUAGAAAAGAUGAACUAAACUAACUUACUGAGCAGUAACAUACUAUACCAGUUUCACUGCCCAUUGUCUCCUGAGAGAGCUGCUCUGAUCCUUUCACAAGUACCAGAAACAAGAUUACGAACUGUCGAAACGGACCCGGCAGGGAGACCGGGUUCUGGACCCGAUCGAUCUGCGAUGAUCUGAAAGACGACUGUCAGAAGAGACCCGCCAUUCUCGCCGUCGCAGGCCAUGCCAUUUUCCGCGCCCGACUUCAUGUCGGGGUGUAUGGCGAAACCCGAAGGGAGGAGCGCAAUUGCGCUUGUUGGGUCUGCACCACUGAGGACCAUGUUCAAUGCAGUUGCAUCAAUAGGAGCAUAUAUCACAAAGGAGCCACUAGUGUUGUAGCAACUCUGUUGGAGUAUCAUUAUGUUGUUCUCAUCACCACUUGCCGAGCCCUGAAAUCAAGAAUCAAAUUACAUGUAUUUGCUCAUGAUACACAUCUGAGACAACAAAUUUUAUAUAUAUAUAUAUAUACAUAUAUUAAAAAUUCGUAUAAACGGUAACUAUAUAUGGAUAUGUUUGAGCUUACGCCAGUUCGGAGUAUCGAUACGCAGUUCUGUCGCCCUUGGCAAUUAGCGACCUCAGCUACUUGAAUUUCGCUUCCGUCGUAAAAGGCAUCCCACUGCAAUUUGGAGAAAACAGAUGAAAGAGUUUGGUUAAUUGUUCCAACAUAGAGUUCAAAAUUUUUCGACAACAUACGAGAAUCUUGUAAGCGAGAAGUGGCCAUAUCAUCAAAACUAAAAUAACAAACAUCUCCUUUUUGCUGUAAUAUAGAUUAUGAUAAUGUGUAUAUUCAGAUGUUUAUGUUCACAUGUGCAAAUACAUGCAUAAAACAACAGCCACAGUAGGGAAUGAUAAGAAUAACUAAUUGUUGAUAGAUUAGUUUAGGAAUUGAAGAACUGAUGAUUUCGCGGUCCCUGAAUACCUCGUGACGAGAGGUCUCGCUACGCAGGAACUCGAACACCCUUCUCAUUGGAACAGCUAACCAGAAGGAAAUGCAUGCAGAGAGAGCAACACCAGUUGGAUUAUUAGGAUCUUGAUCACCAUUAUUGUUAAUCGUUUUGCUCAUAACCUUUGCUGCCGCUUCUUCUUCGGUACCAAUCCCCGCUUCGACGGUCCACUCGUGCUCAGGCGAGCCGGAGAUGGCACCGCAAAAGCUCUUCAUCAUGUUCUCUGCUUGCUUCAGUAAGUUCUUUCCCCCAUUUGGGUCUACUGCAAUAUAGAGUUGCAGAAUACUAAAUUUUUCAUCAUGUAGAAUAAGCUCUUCUUUUAAUUUUUUGUGAGAUGAAACUUGAUAGUUGCAUUGAUGCCUUUAAAAAUAUACUAAUAACUAACAGCAACAGUUGCAAAAAGUUGAGCAUGCAUAUUGAAUAUUUCUAAGGACAAAAAUGAGAAUUUUGACUUAGAAAAGGCAUAUUUAUAUUCAAAACUCCGACUUUUUGGGUCAUCACCAUUGUACUCGAAGAUCGAAUUGUUAAUGGCCAUCACAUGUCGAUCAAUAGUUGCGAUCCACUGGCUCGCGCCAAAGGCUAGACCUGAGUUCACAAAUGGCUUGUACAUCUCAUGAACACCUCCAUCAUCCACCUCGACAUGCUCAACCCAUACAACCUGUGCCAUAAUCAUCAUUAACAUGUUAUAAAGAAUCUUAACCGAGUAUAUGUUAAAUGUAUGUGCAAGUUCAUACCUUUGAGGAACCAUCUUGCAUUGCUUGGAUUAUGCAGCCUGAUGGUCUCCUCCGGCAUGUCGUUUUGGUGUAAUCGCGACCGUCAGUGGUUAUUAUUUCAGAGUAACCGUGGCCAUCAAAAGAAACAUCGACGACGGCCCAGAGGCCUUCGCCAUGCUGUUUGCAGUACCUUAAGAACACACAUUCUCUUUUCGGCACCAAAGGAGACGGGAACUGGAACUCUGCUUUCAUCUGAUAAAUGCAUAAUGUAAGAAUCUUGUUUAACUUAUUUUUCUUUCUGAAAAGGGCUUCAUGAGAUCCAUACCAGCUGCAGAGUUUUGUCAUCACUUCCCUGAACUUCUGCAGGAAAAGCUUCGACAGUCGAGGCCGUCGAAACGAUGCUUGAAAAGAAUGAUUCAUAGCUAUUCUGCAGAUUAUCAGAAAAGCAAAGAGUUAAAAAUCCAACCUGAUGCAAAACCAAUCUAUUCUGAAACAGUACUGCACCGCACUUACAGCAUUCAUGAAGAUGUCUAUAAGUUGCCUGCAGUCAAGUGCAACCACUGCCGUCGCGCGGGUCGCCUCUGUCUUCAGUCCAUCUAUCCUUGGCCCGACCCCCCGCGAGAGAUGCUGCGCGUACUCCUCUUCAUUCAGUAUAUCAUUUGUGCCGUCGGGGCUUCGAAGCCACAGUGGCUCCACAAGCUGAGCCAUGUUUAUGAGCUCGGUCAUCGCAUCAAUUGCUAGCUGUGCUAUUGCCGGUCUUGCGCUGUCUCCUACUGUCAUACCUGGGACCCAAAAGAUUUUUUCUUAUAGGAAAUGAUUCAUGAUUCAGAUAUAAUCUUAGCAACCUUGCUGAACGGUAUGACCGUCAGAGGCUCAAAAGGUGUAUUAGACCGAAGGUUCUUAGAAUUAGCUCUGAUACUAUGUUAUUACAGAAGAAACUAUCCUCUUAUUGUACCUUGCCAAACUUCAGGUCUUCCAACACCGCCAUCCAUUGGUUGAAUCGACGGCAGCGGGGAUGAGAGCAUCUGGUACAUCACCGACGGCCCGCCAACAUAUUUUGAAGUUAUAGCUAUUACCCUCUUUAUCUAUUGAAUCCAAGGAGAAACUAGCAUCACAAGAGCUCUAAAAUUUAUGAUAAUAGAGGUGGUUGAUCAUAUUACCUAUUCUCAAAGUUUGGAUCAUAUACCAAUGUAAUCUCUCUACUUUUUUAAAUUUUUCUAUAUUUUUUUUCUAUAAUUUUGUAUGUGCAAGCAUCUAUCAUAACCAACAGGUUUCAAUACCUAAAAAUCUCUCGUGUCUCACGGAAAGAAUAAUUAGUUAUGAAAUAUUCUUACAAGUAUAAUAUUUCUUAUCUCUUAUGUGAGACAUAUGAGCUUCUCGCGCAUUAUAGAUAUAGCUGAAAUCCCUGUGAAUGUUUACAUAUCAUUUCUGUUACUUUUCUUAGGAGAGGAAUUGGUAACAGUCGGUUUAAAGAAACUGGCGUCCUGCGUUGUGACGGAGGGUUGGUUAGAUCGAGUCACAAUUAAAGCCAGUUAGUACUAUGUGUUUAUUCAUUUUAAGUAAAUUACUUCCUUUCUAACAGCUCGAGCUUUUCAGAAAUCAAGGAAAAGGUGUCACGCCUAAAAGUGGGGCAAGGACCGGACAUAAUGCUCUGGAGAUGGAGUCCAACUGGGCUAUUUAUAGUUAAAUCGGCCUACGUAGCACUGAGUGAUGGAGGUACGAGGGACACUCGUGCAAGCAAGAUUUGGAAACUUCGAAUACCGCUAAAGGUUAAAGUGUUAUGUUGGUUGGCACUCAGGAAGAGGCUCAUUACAGCUGACAACCUAAUGAAGAGAGGGUGGAUUGGAGAUACCGCCUGUGUACUGUGUGGGGCUAAUGAGAAACUAUGGACCACUUGUUCACACAGUGCGUAUUCUCCAAAUUCCUUUUAGUAAUGGGAGCGGGGGACGUUCAGGAUAGGGAUAUGGGAAAUGAUCUUAUUGUAGUCUGGGACAGAUGGAAGGGUGCAGUUGACGGCUGGACCUCCAUACACCGUCUAUCCUCUUUAGCAGCUUGCUGGUGGAUCAUUUGGAAGGACAGGAACGAUUUUAUCUUUAGACAGAUCCAACUAGAUCCUUUGCGUGCCGCCCAACGAGUAAAGCAGCUGGUGACGUUUUGGGAACAAGACAAGCAAUUCAACUAACAACUUCCCUUUUUUUUUUCUUUUUUUCUUUUUUUUUUGUCUUUUCGUAAGUCUUUCUCUCCGAGGCCCCGUUGCCUUACUCCUGUAGCCUAGUUUAUUUUUCUAAUGAAUGAAGCGGGGAGCAUGCUACCUUUUUCUCAAAAAAAAAAAAAAAAAAAAAAAAGCUCGAGCUUUCGAAAUUGUGGUUAGCGCUGACAAUCCAAUAGGUGGUAUUAGAGUCAGUGCACGAGUUCGAUUCCCACAUAGUGUAAAUUUGUGCAGGCCUUCCUUUUGAACAGUUUGAGUUUUUAGAAUUGUGGUUAAGGUUUGAAACUUAUAGUGGCUAAAGUGGUAUCGGAUCCAAAUUUUAAGAACUAAAAAUGAAAUUGAGUUUGAUACAACAUUAGAAAUAUGCACCUCUUCGCGAAGUGUGGCAUUCUCAACCCUUAGUUUGUGCUCUUCAAGGCUAAGAGCCCUUGGAUCUCCACAGCUAGGGCAAAAUGCACUACUCAAAGCCUCCUUCAAACUUGUGUUCUCUGCCUUAAGUGUCUCAUUCUCCUCUUUGAGCCUAUAAUUAUCUUGUUUCUCAUGAUGGUUCUGUGUUAUAAAACAAAACAAAAUAAAACAACAAAAAGAAUAAAAGCACACGAGAAAUGUUGUAAUUAAAAGCCAAGAAAUGCGAGAAGAAAUUUUAAUUCCUAAUCUUCUAGUCAUAUUUUAUUCUAGUCCUCCAACUUUUAACGCAUUUAUUCGUGCUUUUCAUUAGUCCUUCACGUCCUUUGCUUUUUAUAAGAAAAAUUAUUACUUGCACCAAGCGCAUUUGCACAUCCGUGCAUCACGAGUUUAUAGAUUACAAUCC
Molecule: long non-coding RNA, 34897 nt
Filed under: Ananas comosus (pineapple)
Lineage: Eukaryota; Viridiplantae; Streptophyta; Magnoliopsida; Poales; Bromeliaceae
Description: long non-coding RNA (ACOM_LNC015730)
Source: RNAcentral